GACGAACGCUGGCGGUGUGCUUAACACAUGCAAGUCGAACGGUAAGGCCCUUUCGGGGGUCCGCGAGUGGCGAACGGGUGAGUAACACGUGAGUAACCUGCCCUCAUCUCUGGGAUAACAGUCGGAAACGGUUGCUAAUACUGGAUAUGAGCUUGCAAGGCAUCUUGUGGGUUGGAAAGAUUUUUUUUGGUUGGGGAUGGACUCGCGGCCUAUCAGCUUGUUGGUGAGGUAGUGGCUCACCAAGGCUUCGACGGGUGGCCGGCCUGAGAGGGCGACCGGCCACAUUGGGACUGAGAUACGGCCCAAACUCCUACGGGAGGCAGCAGUGGGGAAUAUUGCACAAUGGACGGAAGUCUGAUGCAGCAACGCCGCGUGCGGGAUGACGGCCUUCGGGUUGUAAACCGCUUUCAAUUGUGACGAAGCUUAUUUGUGACGGUAGCAGUAGAAGAAGCACCGGCUAACUACGUG
RNAcentral lists this ribosomal RNA (468 nucleotides) under uncultured bacterium. RNAcentral's name for it is "partial 16S ribosomal RNA". It matches the Rfam family "Bacterial small subunit ribosomal RNA", at positions 28 to 507 of the family's 1533-position model. The record is from RNAcentral.